RNAcentral lists this long non-coding RNA (1757 nucleotides) under Marmota monax (woodchuck). The record is from RNAcentral. Lineage: Eukaryota; Metazoa; Chordata; Mammalia; Rodentia; Sciuridae.
CAUCAUUCUAAAUGGAGAAAAUUGAAAACAUAUUCUCUAAAAACUGGAACAAGAUAAGGAUGUCCUCUUUCACCACUUCUAUUCAACAUCCUUGAAACUCUAGCCAGAGCAAUUAGCAAAAGAAAAAAUUAAAGGGAUACAAAUAGGUUAAGAAGAAUUCUAACUAUCACUAUUUGCAAAUGACAUGAUUCUGUAUCUACAAGAUCCAAAAAAUUCUACCAGAAAACUUCUAGGACUAAUAAAUGAAUUCAGCAAAGUAGCAGGAUAUAAAAUCAACACCCAUAAAUCUAACAAAAUUUUACACAUCAGUGAUAAAUUUACUGAAAGAGAAAUUAGAAAAACUACUCUAUUCACAAUAGCCUCAAAAAAAAAAAAACCCACCUGGGAAUCAAUCUAACAAAAGAGGUGAAAGACCUCUACAAUGAAAACUACAGAACGCUAAAGAAAGAAAUUGAAGAAAACCUCAGAAGAUGGAAAGAUCUCCCAUGCUCCUAGAUAGGCAGAAUUAAUAUUGUCAAAAUGGCCAUUCUAACAAAAGCAUUAUACAGAUUUAAUACAAUUCCUAUUAAAAUCCCAAUGACAUUCUUCAUAGAAAUAGAAAAAGCUAUGAUGAAAUUUAUUUGGAAAAAUAAGAGACCCACAAUACCAUUGUAGACCAGAAUAGAAGACACAGAGACAAAUCCACAUAAAUAUGUUAUGUCAUACUAGACAAAGGAGCCAGAAACAUUCACUGGAGAAAAGGUAGCCUCUUCAACAAAUGGUGCUGGCAAAACUGGAAAUCCAUAUGUAGCAAAAUGAAAUUAAACCUCUAUCUCUCACCCUGCACAAAAGUCAAUUCAAACUGGAUUAAAGACUUAGGCACUAGAACAGAGACCCUGCACCCAAUAGAAGAAAAGAUAGGCCCAAAUCUUCACCAUGUUGGCCUAGGAUCUGACUUCCUUAACAAGACUCCUAAAGCACAAGAAGUAAAAUCAAGAAUUAAUAAAUGAGGUGGAUUCAGGUUAAAAAAACUUCUUCUCAGCAAAGGAAACAAUAAUGUGAAGAGAGAGCCUACAGAUUGGGAGAAAAUCUUUACCACAUGCUCCUCUGAUAAAGCAUUAAUCUCUAAGUUAUAUAAAGAACUCAAAAAACUUAACACCAAAUAAUAAUAAUAAUAAUAACCCAAUCAAUAAAUGGGCUAAGGAACUAAACAGACAUUUCACAGAAGAAAAAUACAAUCGAUUAAUAAAUAUAUAAAAAAGUGUUCAACAUCUCUAGCAGUUAGACAAAUGCAAAUCAGAACUAAGCUAAGAUAUUAUCUCACUCCAGUCAGAAUGGCAAUCAUCAAGAAUACAGGCAACAUGGGCUGGGGAUGUGGCUCAAGUGGUAGCGCGCUCGCCUGGCAUACGUGCAGCCCGGGUUAGAUCCUCAGCACCACAUACAAACAAAGAUGUUGUGUCCGCCGAGAACUAAAAAAAAAAAAUAUUAAAAAAUUCUCUCUCUCGCUCUCCCCCACUCUCUCUUUAAAAAAAAAAAAAAGAAUACAGGCAACAAUAAGUGUUGGCGAGGAUGUGGGGGGAAAGGUACACUCAUACAUUGCUGGUGGGACUGCAAACUGGUGAAACCACUAUGGAAAGCAGUAUGAAGAAUCUUCAGAGAACUUGGAAUGGAACCAUCACUUGACCCAGCUAUCCCACUCCUCUUUUUAUACCCGAAAGACUUAAAAUCAGCAUACUAUAGUGAUGCAGCCACAUCAAUGUUAUAGCAUCUCAAUUCAC